RNAcentral lists this ribosomal RNA (460 nucleotides) under uncultured bacterium. RNAcentral's name for it is "partial 16S ribosomal RNA". It matches the Rfam family "Bacterial small subunit ribosomal RNA", at positions 338 to 795 of the family's 1533-position model. The record is from RNAcentral.
CCUACGGGUGGCAGCAGUGAGGAAUAUUGGUCAAUGGGCGCUAGCCUGAACCAGCCAAGUAGCGUGAAGGAUGACUGCCCUAUGGGUUGUAAACUUCUUUUAUAGGGGAAUAAAGUGCAGUAUGUAUACUGCUUUGCAUGUACCUUAUGAAUAAGGAUCGGCUAACUCCGUGCCAGCAGCCGCGGUAAUACGGAGGAUCCGAGCGUUAUCCGGAUUUAUUGGGUUUACAGGGAGCGUAGGCGGGUUGUUAAGUCAGUUGUGAUAGUUUGCGGCUCAACCGUAAAAUUGCAGUUGAUACUGGCAUCCUUGCUUACAGUCGAGGUCGGCGGACUUCGUGGUGUAGCGGUGACAUGCUUCGAUCUCACGCAGAACUCCGAUUGCGCCGGCAGCCUGCUGGACUGUACCUGACGCUGCUUCUCGACAGUGUGGGUAUCAAACAGGAUUCGAUACCCGGGUAGUC